UAGAGUUUGAUCCUGGCUCAGGAUGAACGCUGGCGGCGUGCCUAAUACAUGCAGGUCGAGCGAAUGGAUUAAGAGCUUGCUCUUAUGAAGUUAGCGGCGGAUGGGUGAGUAACACGUGGGUAACCUGCCCAUAAGACUGGGAUAACUCCGGGAAACCGGGGCUAAUACCGGAUAACAUUUUGAACCGCAUGGUUCGAAAUUGAAUGGCGGCUUCGGCUGUCACUUAUGGAUGGACCCGCGUCGCAUUAGCUAGUUGGUGAGGUAACGGCUCACCAAGGCAACGAUGCGUAGCCGACCUGAGAGGGUGAUCGGCCACACUGGGACUGAGACACGGCCCAGACUCCUACGGGAGGCAGCAGUAGGGAAUCUUCCGCAAUGGACGAAAGUCUGACGGAGCAACGCCGCGUGAGUGAUGAAGGCUUUCGGGUCGUAAAACUCUGUUGUUAGGGAAGAACAAGUGCUAGUUGAAUAAGCUGGCACCUUGACGGUACCUAACCAGAAAGCCACGGCUAACUACGUGCCAGCAGCCGCGGUAAUA
This 538-nucleotide ribosomal RNA is filed under the name uncultured Bacillus sp. RNAcentral describes it as "bacterial SSU rRNA". It matches the Rfam family "Bacterial small subunit ribosomal RNA", at positions 1 to 525 of the family's 1533-position model. The record is from RNAcentral. Lineage: Bacteria; Bacillati; Bacillota; Bacilli; Caryophanales; Bacillaceae.